RNAcentral lists this ribosomal RNA (492 nucleotides) under uncultured bacterium. RNAcentral describes it as "partial 16S ribosomal RNA". It matches the Rfam family "Bacterial small subunit ribosomal RNA", at positions 29 to 507 of the family's 1533-position model. The record is from RNAcentral.
AGUGAACGCUGGCGGUGGGCCUAACACAUGCAAGUCGAACGGCAGCACAGUAAGUGCGUGCUCUUACGGGGUGCGAGUGGGGGACGUGUGAGGAAUAUAUCGUAAUCUACUUUUUCGUGUGGGUUAACGUAAGGAAACUUACGAUAAUACCGCAGACGACCUACGGUUGAAAGCAGGGGAACUUCUGAGCUUGCGCGGUUGAAUGAGCCGCUGCUGGGUUAGCUAGUUGGGCGGGUAAAUGCCCAGCAAGGCGCGGAUCGGUGGCUGGUCUGUGAGGAUGGUCAGCGGCACUGGAGCUGAGACACGCACCAUGCUACUACGGGAGGCAGCAGAGUGGAAUAUUGGACAAUGGGCGCAAGCAUGGCCCAGCCAUCCCGCGUGUGUGAAGAAGGCCUUCGGGUCGUAAAGACGUCUUGUGGGGAAAGAACCGCUGCAGGUUAAUACCCAGCUGUACUGACGGUACCCAAAGAAUAAGCACCGGCUAACUUCGUG